CAACACCGAAGACAGCCAGGUUCUUGAUUCCCAUGAUAUUGAACAAGUCAGUAGUUCCACGAGAUCCAUCCAAGUUGAAGAAUCAGAGAAGUUGAAUUCCGAAUCGAUCCUUGAGGAUGGGGACUGUGAAAAGAGUGGCGUCACCUCCGAAGAUGAUGCUAAUGACGCAGACUCAACAAACUCUGAAGAAACCGAGACUUCACCUCUUCCAGCGAACGAAGAAGGAGAAAGCCAUGAUACAACCGUUAACUCAGAGGCAACCAACUCUGAAGAAACUGAGACUUUGCCUCACGUACCCAAAGAAGAAGAAGCCGAAAGACACGGUAAAGUCAACCAAGAAAAAGACACUCAGUCUCCAUCAUCAAAGCCAAAAUCUCAGGCAGAAGAGGAAUUCAACACAAUUUGGCAGAGAAUAAUCCGCCUGGAUGCAGUGAGAGCCAAUAAUGAAUGGGUGCCCUACUCACCAUCUCAAGCUGCUGUGUCUGACACAAAAGCCCGGGGAAUAGCCACACAGGUUGGUCUUACUGACUACGAGGACUUGGAGCCCUGCAGGAUCUUACACGCAGCUCGCCUGGUCGCCAUCCUUGAAGCCUACGCGGUCUACGACCCUGAAAUAGGUUACUGUCAAGGAAUGAGCGACUUACUAUCUCCUUUACUCGCAGUAAUCGAAGACGACGCGUUUGCAUUCUGGUGCUUUGUCGGGUUCAUGAGUAAAGCAAGGCAUAAUUUCAGGCUAGACGAGGUUGGAAUCAGGAGACAACUCUCAAUGGUAUCGAAAAUCAUACAGUUCAAAGACAUCCGCUUGUACAGGCACUUGGAGAACCUAGAAGCGGAAGACUGCUUUUUUGUAUACCGUAUGGUGGUGGUGAUGUUCAGACGAGAACUAACAUUUGAGCAGACGCUUUGCCUGUGGGAAGUAAUGUGGGCGGAUCAAGCAGCCAUAAGAACAGGGAUUGCAAAGGCGACAUGGGGGAGAAUACGGUUAAGGGCACCACCGACGGAAGAUUUGUUGCUAUAUGCGAUAGCGGCAAGCGUGUUGCAGAGGAGAAAGACGAUCAUAGAGAAGUACAGUGGGAUGGAUGAGAUUAUGAAGGAAUGUAAUAGCAUGGCUGGUCGUCUUGAUGUUUGGAAACUUCUUGACGAUGCUCAUGACUUGGUCGUCAAUCUUCACGACAAGAUCUGAAAGAGGCACUAUUUUGCCACUAUCACUUUACUUGUUGCACUUUCUUUGUUAGUGUUCAGCUGUUAUUGUUACUUAAAAUGUGAAACAAAAAAAUCUUCAACCAUGUCUUGGAAUAUCUUGUUAUUACUUAAAUAAAGAGAGCUAAAAUUAAAAUGGAUGGGUAGAAGUAGAGAUGUCUGAUACAAAAACCCUUUCUAGAAGACACAAGGCUUAAAAGUUGAAUCACAUGAAUUCGGUUCCAUUUUGGGUUUCAUAAAAAGUUGAAAAAAUACUGACUCUUAAUGGGUCAAAAAAAACACGCCAAUCUGAUCGAACCAUAAACUUGAAUAACCCAACCGAGCCGUACAGUCGAAUGCAUAUACUCUUAGAUUGUUAGAUGUGGUUUGGAAAACAAUUAUUUUUUGAAACUUUUUAUUUUUAUUUUGUGAUUCUCUAUAAGAUUUAGGUUAAAAUUUUUGAAUUACAUAGAGCAUUUAUAUACUUGAUUCGUAAAUAAUGAUUUAAUGAUGAACAUAUGUUAAUGCAAUACUAAAAUCUCUAUAGAUUUAGAAAUAAAAAUUUGAAUUACAUAUUUAGCAUUCUUAUACUUGAAAUCGUAAAUCAAAGCACUGAUCAGAUGUUAUGCAAUAACACAUGCUAAAUCAUGAUUUAGAUAUAAAAAUUUGAAUUACAUAACGUUCAUAUACUUGAAUCGUAAAUCAACAUUUAGUAUUAAAGACAAUAUCUAGAGAGUAAUAUGAUUGCCUAGUUUUAUAAUGAUGAUCAGAUGUUUAUGCAACUACAUGCUAAAUCAUGAUUCAGAUAUAGAGAUUUGAAUUAAAACUAGCAUUUAUAUAUAUGACUCAUAAAUUUAGCAUUUACAAUUGUUAACUUUUAGUAAAAACACAAUACGAAAUGCAUCUCAUGGUCGAUGGAUUUAUAAUGAUGAUCAGAUGUUAAUGUUAAAUCAUGAUUUAGAUAUAAAGAUUUGAAUUACAAAUAGCAUUCAUAUACAUAAAUAGCAUUCACAAUGAUUAAAUUUUACUAAUAACGCAGAUAUUAACACAAUACUGAAUGAAUCUCAUGGUUAUGUAUAAUGUUAAACUGUCUAUUGGGAUAUAGUUUGGGGGUUUAAUAUUGCACUAUACAUAAGGGUUUUGAGAAGGGUGCCUAAUGGAACAAUGUUUGUGCAAUACAUGUUCAGAGAUCAGUAAGAUAAUGUCAAUACAUUUAAAUGCAGUGUUACAUGUGUUUUCUAUAAAGUUUGGUUUUAUUUUUCUGAACAUCGAAUGAGAAAGAAUCUAAUAAGCUCAUCUUAUCACAAGAUUGUUUAGGGUUUGCAAAAUUGAGAAUUACGAGAUUAGAGAAGAUAAAAGCUUUUUUAGAUAAAUAUCUGAUUUGUUUUUAGUAAUGUUUUUAGUAAUGUUUUUGAUAAACUUCCCGUAAUGGGACUCUAGAGUAUUAAUACAAACACUAGAGCAUAAAACGAUAAUGUUCAAACACACUGAAUAAUUAUUAAAAAGUCACUCUCUCAGCUAGUCUUUACUUCUUCUUUGUUCUUCUCUUUAGUCAUUUCCUUGAUUUAUCUUCUUUUCAUGGUUCUGUAAUUCUCUCAUGUUUCCACCAGUAUGAUCUUAUCAAAAUUUUGAAGAAUCUACUGAAAGACAAAAAGAAAACUUUACAUGUUUGUGUUUCUGUGUGUUUAUCUUUAUAGUCUGGUACAAUAGAGACAAUCUUGCCGUGUCAGAAUUAGAGAUUCAGAUCUAUAAGUGAACAUCCAAAGCGUUAAAUAUAAACCAUGUUACAACACUAGAGCCCCCUAAACCCUAGUAAACCCUCUUUUAAAACUCACCUCUAUCUCACUCGCCGGCAUAACAAAAAUACUAAAAAAAAAACGUAGAAGAGAAUGUCAGAGGGGGAGGAUGAGAUCACAAGGGUCUUCAAGGUGCGUCGCACGGUGCUGCAGAUGCUGAAGGACAGAGGUUACAACAUAGAAGAGUCUGAUAUAGAGUUGAAAAGAGAAGACUUCGUUCAAAACUUUUACAAAGCUAUGAACAAAGUCAACAAGGAAGCUCUAUUCGUGACAGCAGACAAGGGACCAAAUCCAGAAGACAAGGUAACACAUCUAAUAAACAACAUAGUCAUAAUGAAAAGUCUUUAUACUCAAAUCUUCAACUCUGGUGUGUAGAUUUACGUGUUCUACCCGGAAGGUCCUAAGGUGGGAGUCCCAAUCAUUAAAAAAGACGUGGUGAUGAAGAUGAGAGACGAUAAAGUCACUCGAGGGAUCAUAGUUGUUCCGCAGCCCAUAACUGGUGCAGCCAAGAAUGCUAUCAUAGAGCUGAACAAGAUUUUGACUAUUGAAGUCUUUGAGGAAGCUGAGUUGGUGACUAACAUAACCGAGCAUAAGCUUAUUAACAAGUACUAUGUACAUGACAAUCAAGCUAAGAAGGAACUGCUUCAAGAGUACACGGUGCAAGACACGCAGCUGCCACGUAUCCUUGUCUCUGAUCCUGUAACAGCUGUUAAAUGAGAAAAUACUACUUCUUAAGAGAGGGCAAGUUGUUAAGAUUAGAAGAAGUGAUGCUACUUCUUUGGACUAUUAUACCUAUCGAUAUGCAGUUUAGUUUUGUAAUCUUGGAUUUGGAUUUUUACAAACCUUGCUUGUUCAAUGUUUUUUAUUUUAUUUGUUAUAGUAAGGGAUAAAAAAAGUCACUAUUUUCAUAUAUGCAAGUCCACUUGUCUCGGUCGUAUUUGAGACGGACUGCUUGGAUUUAGUAGACUACGAAUCCGGUGGACUGGUCAGUCUUCGUUUCAGAGAUUAAUUCUUUUCAAAGUUUAAAGGAGGAGUUUGUUUCAUGACCAAAGGAGCAGGUCCGGACUCACUAGCAAAGAAGGUUAUGAUCAGCUGCUUAUUAUUUUCUCAUUUAAAUCAAAUAUGGUCAGAUGGAAGUGUUCUUCGAAAUAACUUUUCGUCAAGAACUUGAUCUAGUUGUAUACGUAGUUGACAAUGGCUUAUACCAAUGGAGUUUCAUGGCUUCUCAACUUUCUGCCAAUAUUUAAGUUUCCCAUUUUUCUCUGUUUCUCGUUAGGUGGCAAGCUUGUUAUUGACAUUUUCAAUGUUUCCAUGAAUUUACCAAUAAGUAGUAGUUUGAGAACUCCUAUCGCUUAGACAUACGUAAAUCUUGCAGGAAGGAAUAUGAAAACCUGCGGAGACAGUGUCGCGAGAUUCAUAGGCGCAAUGAAAAUAGCAGUGACUCAAAGCAGACUUCUCAGAGGAGCAACACCGAAGACAGCCAGGUUCUUGAUUCCCAUGAUAUUGAACAAGUCAUUAGUUCCACGAGAUCCAUCCAAGUUGAAGAAUCAGAGAAGUUGAAUUCCGAAUCGAUCCUUGAGGAUGGGGACUGUGAAAAGAGUGGCGUCACCUCCGAAGAUGAUGCUAAUGACUCGGACUCAACAAACUCUGAAGAAACCGAGACUUCACCUCUUCUAGCGAACGAAGAAGUAGAAAGCCAUGAUACAACCGUUAACUCAGAGGCAACCAACUCUGAAGAAACUGAGACUUUGCCUCACGUACCCAAAGAAGAAGCAGAAAGACACGGUAAAGUCAACCAAGAAAAAGACACU
RNAcentral lists this long non-coding RNA (4786 nucleotides) under Brassica rapa (field mustard). Its description in RNAcentral is "long non-coding RNA (BRAP_LNC005327)". The record is from RNAcentral. Lineage: Eukaryota; Viridiplantae; Streptophyta; Magnoliopsida; Brassicales; Brassicaceae.